RNAcentral lists this ribosomal RNA (465 nucleotides) under uncultured bacterium. Its description in RNAcentral is "partial 16S ribosomal RNA". It matches the Rfam family "Bacterial small subunit ribosomal RNA", at positions 28 to 507 of the family's 1533-position model. The record is from RNAcentral.
GACGAACGCUGGCGGCGUGCUUAACACAUGCAAGUCGAACGGAAAGGCCCUGCUUGCAGGGUACUCGAGUGGCGAACGGGUGAGUAACACGUGGGUGAUCUGCCCUGCACUUCGGGAUAAGCCUGGGAAACUGGGUCUAAUACCGGAUAGGAGCCAUUUUUAGUGUGAUGGUUGGAAAGUUUUUUCGGUGUAGGAUGAGCUCGCGGCCUAUCAGCUUGUUGGUGGGGUAAUGGCCUACCAAGGCGGCGACGGGUAGCCGGCCUGAGAGGGUGGACGGCCACAUUGGGACUGAGAUACGGCCCAGACUCCUACGGGAGGCAGCAGUGGGGAAUAUUGCACAAUGGGCGCAAGCCUGAUGCAGCGACGCCGCGUGGGGGAUGACGGCCUUCGGGUUGUAAACGCCGUUCGCUAGGGACGAAGCUUUUUGUGACGGUACCUAGAUAAGAAGCACCGGCUAACUACGUG